This 828-nucleotide ribosomal RNA is filed under the name Triticum aestivum (bread wheat). RNAcentral describes it as "partial small subunit ribosomal RNA". The record is from RNAcentral. Lineage: Eukaryota; Viridiplantae; Streptophyta; Magnoliopsida; Poales; Poaceae.
AUGAAGAAUCGGAAAACCGUAGAUUUUAUCAGUGGCGUGACAGAGUUCAUGAAUUUGGCUGAAAGUACAAAGAGGAGAAUUGGUGAUGCGGAUUACAUCUUGUGUCCAUGUACUGAUUGUGCCAAUACAGAGUCACAUGAAGUUGCAGAUGUCCAGAUGCACUUAGUCUCUAGGGGAUUCAUGGAUGGAUAUACAUGUUGGAACAGACACGGUGAAGAGGAGGUCAUGGAUGAAGAUACCCAGGGUAGCGAGAUGCCAAACCCCGGUCAGUGUCACAUGGAUGUUGAAUCUAACAUCGGGGCAGAGGCGUCAAGCUACCAAUGGAACACCGGAAAGCCGAAACGCCCACUGGAAAACCAAGACGUUGACGCAGAUGACGACGAUCUUGAUAUGCCAGUUUUUGCUGCUAUGAUUGCAGAUUUCGAGGGCCCAGAUAAGCAUAUGAUUGGGUACAAGGAUCUGCCAAUCAUUGAUGCGGACUCCAAGAAAGAAUUGUAUCUAGGUUGCAAAAAGAAAUAUUCCAGGUUGAGUGCCACCCUGGCGCUUCUCAGAUUUAAAGCAGCAAACGGUCUAUCAAACAAGGGCUUCACAGAGAUGUUAAGUCUUUUGAAAGAAAUUCUUCCGGAAGAUAAUGUGCUCCCCAGAAGCACGAAUGAAGCGAAGAAAAUUGUUUGUCCAUUGGAACUUGAAGUACAGAUGAUACACGGUUGUGUGAAUGAUUGUAUAUUGUACCAUGGUGAGUACAAAGAUUAUCGUGCAUGUCCCACAUGCAAGCAUGCACGAUACAAGCGCAGGAGAUCAAAGGACAAGUACAAAUUGGACGACUAG